Molecule: transfer RNA, 71 nt
Filed under: Entomophthora muscae
Lineage: Eukaryota; Fungi; Entomophthoromycota; Entomophthoromycetes; Entomophthorales; Entomophthoraceae
Description: tRNA-Val
Rfam family: tRNA
About the family: Transfer RNA (tRNA) molecules are approximately 80 nucleotides in length. Their secondary structure includes four short double-helical elements and three loops (D, anti-codon, and T loops). Further hydrogen bonds mediate the characteristic L-shaped molecular structure. tRNAs have two regions of fundamental functional importance: the anti-codon, which is responsible for specific mRNA codon recognition, and the 3' end, to which the tRNAs corresponding amino acid is attached (by aminoacyl-tRNA synthetases). tRNAs cope with the degeneracy of the genetic code in two manners: having more than one tRNA (with a specific anti-codon) for a particular amino acid; and 'wobble' base-pairing, i.e. permitting non-standard base-pairing at the 3rd anti-codon position.
Source: RNAcentral
GCUUUCGUGGUGUAGUUGGUCAUCACAUCUGCCUUACAAGCAGAAGUUCUGUUCGAUCCCGAACGAAAGCA